This 136-nucleotide ribosomal RNA is filed under the name uncultured Trebouxiophyceae. Its description in RNAcentral is "partial small subunit ribosomal RNA". It matches the Rfam family "Eukaryotic small subunit ribosomal RNA", at positions 1670 to 1804 of the family's 1831-position model. The record is from RNAcentral. Lineage: Eukaryota; Viridiplantae; Chlorophyta; Trebouxiophyceae.
CGCCCGUCGCUCCUACCGAUUGGGUGUGCUGGUGAAGUGUUCGGAUUGGCGACCGCGGGCGGUUUCCGCCCUCGGCCGCCGAGAAGUUCAUUAAACCCUCCCACCUAGAGGAAGUAAAAGUCGUAACAAGGUUUCC